UGCGUAGGCGGAUAUUUAAGUCGGGUGUGAAAUCCCCGGGCUCAACCUGGGAACUGCACUCGAUACUGAAUGUCUAGAGUAUGGUAGAGGAAAGUGGAAUUUCCGGUGUAGCGGUAAAAUGCGUAGAUAUCGGAAAGAACAUCAGUGGCGAAGGCGGCUUUCUGGACCUAUACUGACGCUGAGGUACGAGAGCGUGGGGAGCAAACA
This 207-nucleotide ribosomal RNA is filed under the name uncultured bacterium. Its description in RNAcentral is "partial 16S ribosomal RNA". It matches the Rfam family "Bacterial small subunit ribosomal RNA", at positions 568 to 774 of the family's 1533-position model. The record is from RNAcentral.